This 459-nucleotide small RNA is filed under the name Histoplasma capsulatum var. duboisii H88. Its description in RNAcentral is "Histoplasma capsulatum H88 hypothetical RNA". Lineage: Eukaryota; Fungi; Ascomycota; Eurotiomycetes; Onygenales; Ajellomycetaceae. The record is from RNAcentral.
GAGGGUUGGUAGGGUUAGUGUGAUAUGCUCGGCCGAUGCUACCACGCUACUCUCAGCUUGGGGAAAUUCUCCAUGUCUCAACUAUGUGGUAACCACAUCGCGACAUUUGAACAUUCAUUCGACCUGAGGGAAAUACGCCGAGGCUGCUUGGACGCGAUUUUCGAUCUGAUUUGUUUGGCACAGUGGUAAGUGUGAGACUAAAAUAGUGGGGGAUAUCACUGCAGCAUUUUGGCCAGAUAGAUUAUUUUCUUACGUCAACGGUAUAUUGCCUGGACGAUGCAUAUGAUGCUGUUUAGAGACAUCCAUGUGUCAAUUUCAAAGCGACCCUGGAGGCAUUAGUAGCCCUUUGGCAAUUAGCGACCUUCACCACACCAUUUCCCACUCAUUAGAAAGUGUGUUAACAACCAAAAUUAUAAUGACCAGUACGUGUGGAUGUACUGUUGAUAUGAUCAACCGGAU